CCUUGUAUGUAUGUGCUUAAACUGUCCUGAGUCAAGAGUUGGUAUGGAUGCGGGUUGGACUGGACCCAUUUGCACUCAUGACAAGCACGUGGUAAACUUUGAAAUUACAGUAAGAAAACCUUGGAAUUACAGUAAUAAAACCUAGGAAUUAUAGUAGCACCUGUCAACUACAGAUUAUACAGAAACAACUGAACCAAAAUACACACUGCCUAUCAUACAGAUGACUACACACUGAAGCAACAUACACACGGCCCUAUCCAUAGUUCAACAUCUCACCGAUGCAAAAAGGCCUUCUUCUCCUCAUUGUUGUUUCGCAGUCUGAAAAAAGGAUCAAACAAGAAAAUAGACCAAUCAUGAAGAUAUACAACAAAAAGAGAAGCAAUUCACACUGACCCAAAAAGCUGAGAAUACAUAUUACAACAUACAGUUAAUGAUGCAGACGAGUACAGUAAUUAAGCAACUUUCAGCCAAAAGUAGAACUGAAAAAAGGAAUUCAUGAGCCUCUUUACUGUAAAUUUAAAGUAUAAAGAUAGAAGUUCUUUAUCAACAAAGAAAUCAGUAACUAGAAUUUAUGCAUGCCGUUGAACUCACUGAAAAGCAUAUCAUUGGCAUACUUUAUCCUUAAGUUGGGAAUGACAGGGCGAGAAGUGCAUGGAUGAACCCGGAUACAUAUGAACCCACUUUGAGAAACACAUUUCUAAAUUCUAAAAGAAUCUGGAAAAAAAAUUGCACGGGUACGUCUCCAUGUUCUAUGUGCGUGCAUAAAGUUUCACAGAAAAAUAACUUUUUUCGUGGCCUGCGCAAAAAGACAAAAAAUUAUGUUGUGAAACACUAUUUAGAAGCACUGAAAUUUGUCUUUUUUGCAGAGGCAAAACAAAAAGACAUUUUUUUAUAAAACUUUGUGCCGCGUACACACAUUUGCGAACAUGUAUGCGUGAUAUUUUCUUUUGAUUUUUUGACAUUUUAAAACGUGCUUAAAAUGCAUUUUAUGAGAAGUGGGUGCAUAUGCCCAUGGGUUCAGAUGGUGCCCUCUCAGGACAAGGGCUGGAAAAAUGGUUAUCAACUAGAGUCCUUGUGGUCCUCACUUCGAUAAACAUGAAUAAAGGAAGAAAAACAAAAAUACCAACAAUGUAAAUAAGGAAAAUCAGGUCAGCCAUAGUAAAAAACAAAUUACCUAUUGGUCUGGUUGGGAACAGCUAGGAAGACAUCAUCAAUUUUAUCAAAAUCAAUUCAUUUCCUCAACAUGGGAGUAAUAAAAGUAUCCCAAAAUCCUAUGAAGUUUGUAAUCUGUUCAAAUAAAAGAAAACACAAGAGAUAAAUCUUAAAAGAUAACAACACAGUGCUUUCAAAAAGGAAACUAAUUUAUAAACAAAUUGAUUAAAACAAUGUACUAUGGAUCGUGAAUCUGCAAGUGAAAUUCAGAAUGCUCAUUAAAAGCCAGAUCAAGGAAAGCUAAGGCUCUUUCCUUAAAACAAACCAUGAAAGAAAACCAAUGCUUUCGAAUGGUUAUAGGGAAGCACAGCUGCAACGUGGAAGAAUAAUAUGAAGAAAAAUGUAUAUAGAGGAAAUAAAAAAUAAAUGCACCUAGGAAGUACAGCUGUAAAUGUAUCGUCAUUACCAAGCCAGAUCAAGAGAGAUUUGAGGGAGAUGCUUGCAGAGAGGGAAGGAGGGACAACCGCAACAAGAAAUUUGGGGAGAACUAUAGAAGAUCAUACAAGAGACGAUCCACAGAUCAGAAAUCUUUCAAUUCCAACUUCUUUUCUCAUGCCUAGUGAAUUUCUUUGAGAUCGAAGGACCUGUAAAAUCACAAGGCAGAAAAGCACAGAUCAUAAAUCCUUUCUAUUCCACAUAGUGUAUCACACAGAGCACUGUAGUUAAAAUUAAAGAAACUGGUCAAUUUUGUUUCGAAAGCACGAUGGCAAAGAAUUUAAAUUUACAGUAGCAAAAAUACUGAAAUUACUAUUAUCAAGUUGCUGAAAAUAGUAGGCAAGCAGAAUUUCCUGUGCACAGCGAAGUUUCUGACACAAAGGUAGAUUCAGUAUAUUUUGAGUGUGUGAUUAGAUGCAACAUUAUUCAACAAAGACAGUGUGAUUUAAAGUCUAAUUACCAAUGUAAUUAUACUGAAAUUAUACUGAAUGUAAAUACAGUAAAUAUCCCAGUAUAAUUAUUGUAAAUAUUGCACUGUGAUUACCCCUGGAAAUUACACCAUAACAACACUGUAAAAUAUAGUUAAAUUGCACAGUAAUUACAGUAAAAUGGCACUAUGAUUUACAUUGUAAUUAUCCUGAAAAAUACACUGCCGUUACUCUGAAAUUCCACUGUAAGAACACUAUAAUUACAAUGUAAUUUCAGAGGAAAUUACACUGUAAUUAAAAUGGAAUUACAGUCAUGAAGCUGCUGUAAACUUAGAUGCAACACUACCUAAAACAUAGAAAAAGAAAAGAAAAGGGUAUACAAUGGAUGCAAAUACUACCCAACUAAGACAAACCACGCAGAAAAAGGUUCUAAAAUGCUUGAAGACACAACAUAGACAAACCCAACUAAGACAAACCACGCAGAAAAAGGUUCUAAAAUACUUGAAGAUACAACAUAGACAAACCGCAAAAAUUACUUUAAUUGAAUUGAAAAUUUCAUUGUGAUCUAGUGUAACUAAACUGAAAAUAGCACUGCAAUUGCAGUGAUUGUAAACUAAAAUCACAGAAGUUACAGUAGACAUUGCACUGUGAUUACCUCUGGAAAUUACACUGUAAUCACAGUGCCACUUGCCUAUAUAUUUCAGAGGAAAUUACACUGUAAUUAAAAUGAAACUACAGUAACGAAUUUGAUGCGAUUGCUACCUAAUAACGCAGGCCACUACAUCUAACAAAAAAAAGAUAGCGGAAUCAGACGUCCAGACGAACAGAUAAGAAAGUCGACAGGGGAAUCGGAUGCACCGCUACAUCCAUGCAUCUACCACUGCAAGUGCAACAAAAUCGCAAGCCAAAUCCACAUCUACGAAUGCACAUACACAUACAUCUACAUCAAACAACAGGAUAAUCAAAUCAAACAACUAGAUCUAGAAGAAAUACAACGGGGAAAGGGACAACAACCGAAGCGAGGAGGCACGGGAGCAGAAAUCAACCUGAAGAAAGAAGAGGGGGAGCCGAUCAGAAUCGCCAUGGACGAUGAGGCAAUCGCCAAGAGGUGCCUCCUUCGCUCCGCUGCUUUAAGAGCAUCUCCCCAACAGGCUCCCCAGUGCUAGCGCCGGUGGCGAAAAAUCGGCCCAGUCACGCCCCAGAUCGUUGUUUAUCGCCGGUUUGGGCCGAAAUAACAACCAGCAAAC
This 3322-nucleotide long non-coding RNA is filed under the name Triticum aestivum (bread wheat). Its description in RNAcentral is "long non-coding RNA (TAES_LNC014820)". The record is from RNAcentral. Lineage: Eukaryota; Viridiplantae; Streptophyta; Magnoliopsida; Poales; Poaceae.